UCGAUUGUUGUCUACAAUAAGAUGUAUAUACACAUUUUAAUUUGAUAGCACAAUAUACUUGCUACCAUGUUUGUUGGGGGAACACAAUUGAACAUAUAAAUCCGGAAGAACUGCUAGCUAGGACCAAAGCCUCCACGUCGGCUUUAAAUCGCUAUUGCCACCGCCUACAAAUUCUGUGCCCCGCCAAGGGCAUUUUAGUCUUUUCACCUUUGGGUAUAAAAAGCAGCCCGCCCGUGGAGAAACCCUAGCCGCGCCCUCCGCCCGCACUCAAGCCCCGCACUCGCGCCUCCGCCCGCACUCUCUGCUCUCUUCCCCGAUCCCCUCCCACGAACCCUAGCAUCCUGGUGCCGCCACCCAUUCCUUCCCCCGUCCCUCCCCCACCCCUCCCCCGCGCCCGAGCCCCUCCCUCCACUUCGUCGCCACCGCUGUCUCUCCUCUUCCUCCCCGCUCUAGCCCCUCCAGGUCGUCGCUCGCGGUGGUUCCAGAUCCUGCGCUGGUCGUCCCCAUGGGUAAGGAGGGGAGGUUGGGUCUUCAAGGUUGGCGGAGGUGCAGGGGAGACCGGCAGCGUGGGGAGGAGCAGUGAGCCAGGAGCCAGGGAGAGGCCAAUGUCGGGGACAAGAAACAGCGGGGCCAGCCGUCCAUCGCGGUGGUUUGGAGGGAGAGGGAGUGGGAGGAGGUCGGCCACGAGAGAAGGAGCAGGCCGGCCCUGCUUCGUCAUGGAGGAUGUCCAGCUUCUCGUCCUCCUCCGCCUCUUCUCCAAGCGUCCAUCCUAUCGCAUCUCAGCUUCAGAAUUGGGUGCGUAUGAACAGUGCAACGGAGGUUAUGUUAAUUCCUAGAAUCUUAUAUGUUCUUUUGUCUCCUGGUGAUUACUUCGAAUGGCUGUGUGAGGUAAUAGAGCUAAUACCUUUUGUUUCUUCAUCACUAUAAACCGUGUCUGAUUUUAAAACUGAGAGCCAUAAAAUAUAUGCAUUAAUCUCUCUUGAUAUUUUCCCAUACGACCAACAUUAAUCUAUGUUGAUGUGUUCUAUGCCAAUUCAUUGCCGAUGGAGUGCCAACAUUAAUCGUAUAUGAAAUUUAGUUCUAACUUGCAAAAAUGUUCUGAUUACUGUUUGUGUGUGUGUGGCUACACAUCUGUGCCGUUCCAGCUGCUCUGUUCUUACUUUGAACACCGAGUUGAGCAGUGGAUCACGCGGGAAAAAAAUCAAACCGCUUCAAAUAAAGAAAUACUCUUCUGAAACUAUGCUCCUCUUAGGACAGACACACCUCCUGUGCAUAUGGUUGCAGGUUGUAUCCAUGCCAAGAUAGCACCUUGUAUGCAUAAGAUGGACCCCCUGUGUUUGCUCGAGUGUAUUGUACACCAAAAUCAUGAGAGCUCCACACAUAAAUUUUGCCCGGACUUACUAUGUUCGUGUAAGCAUUUGAAAUUCUUGAUGCAUUUGAGACGGUGGAAACGAGAGAAGCUGGGAGCGUAGCACUGACCGUGACUGUGAUUGCUAGAGCUCUAAGAGAUAGACGGAGGUCUCAACUGGCUGGGAAGAUUUGACAAGAGAUGUGGAGAUGGGGCACGGGGAGGGGAGGGCGAGUCGGCCUGGAGGCCCCGGUUGUGGCUUCGACUAGGCAGGCCUGGGACUCGCGGUGGCGGGCGGCCUCGCGCUGGAGCUGGUCCUGGCGGGCGGCCUCGGCCUCGUCCACACGGACUUCUCCUGGUUGUCGAACCGGUCGAGGGUCAUCCAACUUCUUGUUUAUCAGGCUACCGUUUGAUAAAAUGUUUCCUGACGUCCGGACCGGUCAUACUUUUGCAAGGUUAGAUGUGUUCUUAUUGAUGCACUUCAUUGCUUCUUGCUACAUGCUCUGUUUGCUUUGUUUCGUGGCCUACCACUUGUUCUUGUCUGGUGAGAUUAUGGUGCGCCUUGUCUUUUUCUAAUGCUGUCAGCCUUUGUCUCCUUAUUAGCCUGUUAAAUUAUGUAUAUGGGUUCACGUGUAAGCAAGCUGAGUGGGUUAUGCAGGCUACUUUGUAAAAUGUGCAUGCAUAACCGCCUGUAAAGGGGUCCAGUAUAUCAUACAAAGAGCAGCAACAAAUGCUUAUUAUGUUCCAUUAAAGCAGAUUAGAAGAUUGUUUAGUUUGGGUAAUUUUAUUAAUUGUUUUUUUUUCUCCUAACUGACCGAACUGGCUUUAUCCAAAAAGAAAACGAGCAGACUUCAUUAGCUUAGAGAAGAGAAUUUUUUUAAACGCUGUGGUUAUGGAGUUGUGCUCGGUUUGCUUCUUUUGGUCAUUCUUGAUAUAAGCAAUUGGGUAGCGUUGCUGUUUACUCAUAUAAGGAAUGGAUUGCUAGGAAUGAGUUUAUCAGAGCCUACUGGAAUGCACGCCCUCUGUCCCUGUUUUUGUCUCUGUAGCUAAACUUGAGAAUUGUACACUUUGGUAUAUAAAGUUAGUUGCUGAGUUUACAUGCAGUUAUGAAAGUUAGAGCACAUACAUGCUUUAUUUUACUUCCUUUAAUACAGGGCAUUCCAUAAUUACUAAGAACUGAUUUGUUGAAGUGUGCCUCCCUAAUUU
This is a non-coding RNA of Aegilops tauschii subsp. strangulata, 2554 nucleotides long. The record is from RefSeq and is a predicted model, not a curated record. NCBI's taxonomy places the organism in Eukaryota, Viridiplantae, Streptophyta, Magnoliopsida, Poales, Poaceae.